CCUACGGGGGGCAGCAGUAGGGAAUUUUGCGCAAUGGACGAAAGUCUGACGCAGCAAUACCGUGUGAGGGAUGAAGCAUUUCGGUGUGUAAACCUCUGUCGAUGGCGAAUAAAUGUUCGGGGAGUGGAAAGCCUCGGAUUUGAAGGUAGCCAUGAAGGAAGCACCGGCUAACUCUGUGCCAGCAGCCGCGGUAAUACAGGGGGUGCAAGCGUUGUUCGGAAUUACUGGGCGUAAAGGGAGCGUAGGCGGGAUUGCAAGACAGGGGUUAAAUCUCC
Molecule: ribosomal RNA, 275 nt
Filed under: uncultured bacterium
Lineage: Bacteria
Description: partial 16S ribosomal RNA
Rfam family: Bacterial small subunit ribosomal RNA
Source: RNAcentral